CAGACAUGCUCCGUGCGUUCAGCCGAAAGGUGUACUCGUACGGUUGCAGGCUAGAGUCUGUUCUUGCGGUCGGAUAAAGGCUUCGGGAAUGUAGCUCCCCUCGGGGAGUGUUAUAGCCCGGACUUGAUACGGCUCUGGGGACAGAGGACCGCAGCGCGCCUUCUUGGCAUUGGCUUCGGCCUUUUCCGCGCUAAGGAUUCUGGCUUAAUGGCUUUAAGCGACCCGUCUUGAAACACGGACCAAGGAGUCUAACAUGUGUGCGAGUG
Molecule: ribosomal RNA, 266 nt
Filed under: Acaulospora laevis
Lineage: Eukaryota; Fungi; Glomeromycota; Glomeromycetes; Diversisporales; Acaulosporaceae
Source: RNAcentral